AGCCUGAACGCUGGCGGCGUGGCUAAGACAUGCAAGUCGUACGGACCCGCAAGGGUCAGUGGCGAACGGGUGAGUAAUGAAUCGCUAAUGUGCCCCGGACUCAGGGAUAGCUACUCGAAAGGGUAGGUAAUACCUGAUGACAUAACCUUGUCGCAUGGCAGGGUUCUCAAAGGUCCGCCGGUCUGGGAGCAGGCGAUUUCGUAUCAGCUAGUUGGUGAGGUAACGGCUCACCAAGGCGACGACGCGUAGCCGGACUGAGAGGUUGGCCGGCCACAUUGGGACUGAGACACUGCCCAGACUCCGUACGGGGGGCUGGCAGUAACGAAUCUUCCGCAAUGCACGAAAGUGUGACGGAGCGACGCCGCGUGGUGGGACGAAGUCCGUUCGGGAUGUAAACCACUGUACGAGGGUUACCAAGGUUCUGAGGACGCCCCGAGACGGAAGGCGACGCUAACUCGUGU
Molecule: ribosomal RNA, 461 nt
Filed under: uncultured soil bacterium
Lineage: Bacteria
Description: bacterial SSU rRNA
Rfam family: Bacterial small subunit ribosomal RNA
Source: RNAcentral